RNAcentral lists this ribosomal RNA (572 nucleotides) under uncultured bacterium. RNAcentral describes it as "bacterial SSU rRNA". It matches the Rfam family "Bacterial small subunit ribosomal RNA", at positions 77 to 635 of the family's 1533-position model. The record is from RNAcentral.
AGCUUGCUUCAAUUGGAGGCGACCGGCGCACGGGUGAGUAAAGAGUAUUCAACCUUCCCUACAAUUAGGGAUAACCUUUUGAAAGGAAGAAUAAUACCCGAUGGUGUGAUGAGAAUGCAUGAGAAUAUCAUUAAAGGAUUAUCGGUGAUGGAUGGGGAUGCGUUCCAUUAGGUUGUAGGCGGGGUAACGGCCCACCAAGACGACGAUGGAUAGGGGUUCUGAGAGGAAGGUCCCCCACAUUGGAACUGAGACACGGUCCAAACUCCUACGGGAGGCAGCAGUGAGGAAUAUUGGUCAAUGGACGAGAGUCUGAACCAGCCAAGUAGCGUGAAGGAUGAAGGCCCUAUGGGUUGUAAACUUCUUUUAUAAGGGAAUAAAGUGUGCCACGUGUGGGAUUUUGUAUGUACCGUAUGAAUAAGGAUCGGCUGACUCCGUGCCAGGCAGCCGCGGUAAUACGGAGGAUCCGAGCGUUAUCCGGAAUUUAUUGGGUUUAAAGGGAAGCGUAGGCCGGGUCGUUAAGUCAGUUGUGAAAAGUAGGGGGUUCAAACCGUAAAAAUGGCAGUUGAAUACUG